This 806-nucleotide ribosomal RNA is filed under the name uncultured bacterium. RNAcentral's name for it is "bacterial SSU rRNA". It matches the Rfam family "Bacterial small subunit ribosomal RNA", at positions 243 to 1050 of the family's 1533-position model. The record is from RNAcentral.
AGCUGGAUGGUAAGGUAACGGCUUACCAUGGCUACGAUGUCUAGGGGUUCUGAGAGGAAGGUCCCCCACACUGGAACUGAGACACGGUCCAGACUCCUACGGGAGGCAGCAGUGAGGAAUAUUGGACAAUGGAUGGAAAUCUGAUCCAGCCAUGCCGCGUGCAGGAAGACGGCCCUAUGGGUUGUAAACUGCUUUUGUAUGGGAGCAAUAAGGGCUACGUGUAGUCCGAUGAGAGUACCAUACGAAUAAGCACCGGCUAACUCCGUGCCAGCAGCCGCGGUAAUACGGAGGGUGCAAGCGUUAUCCGGAUUUAUUGGGUUUAAAGGGUGCGUAGGCGGUUUGAUAAGUCAGCGGUGAAAUAUUUCAGCUUAACUGGAAGGGUGCCGUUGAUACUGUCGAGCUUGAAUUUAGUUGCUGUGGGUGGAAUGUGUGGUGUAGCGGUGAAAUGCAUAGAUAUCACACAGAAUAUCGAUUGCGAAGGCAGCUCACAAAGCUAAUAUUGACGCUGAUGCACGAAAGUGUGGGGAUCAAACAGGAUUAGAUACCCUGGUAGUCCACACUGUAAACGAUGAUAACUCGCUGUCGGCGAUACACAGUCGGUGGCCAAGCGAAAGCGAUAAGUUAUCCACCUGGGGAGUACGACCGCAAGGUUGAAACUCAAAGGAAUUGACGGGGGCCCGCACAAGCGGAGGAACAUGUGGUUUAUUUCGAUGAUACGCGAGGAACCUUACCCGGGCUCGAACGGUGCAUGAAUAGAUCAGAGAUGGUUUAGUCCUUCGGGACAUGUAUCGAGUUGCUGCAUGUUG